Molecule: unclassified non-coding RNA, 603 nt
Filed under: Hevea brasiliensis (rubber tree)
Lineage: Eukaryota; Viridiplantae; Streptophyta; Magnoliopsida; Malpighiales; Euphorbiaceae
Source: RNAcentral
CAAAGGAAAUCACGUUUUGGCGCUGGGGUUCUUUUGGUUUUUGGUUGUCUAAUGGCUAAGAUGAUAGUUGAAGCUCUCAUCUUAGUAUUGGUUUUUAUAAUGGGGUUGUUUAACUAUGUGAAGGAUUUGUUUUGAGUUUUUGAAAUUAUAAAUCAAAUGCUAUAAAUAUUUGAAAUGGGAUUCACAUUCUUUUCACUUCCUGCAUUUUUCUCAGCAAUCAAUUGGGUCAUCAAAGUAAAUGGACGCUACUGUGUACUUUUUGUUAUUUUUGAUGUUCAAUUUUUAUUUUUCGAAGACUCAUUGAUGCUCUGAUUAUUUCCUCUCUCUUUUCUCUCUCUCCUUUGCAAUUAUUUCCUUUUGGGGAGUUAUUGAAGAAAUAAAGAAUAAAUGCUAAUGGGUACUUGAGUUUCCUUUCUUUUCUUUCUUUCUUUAUUUUCUUUUCAAUCGAUUCUUUUUAUUUAUGUAUAUCUGCGGACUUCAUGUCACUCAUUACUUUCAAAAUAGUUUUGUUUGAGUGAGAAAUUUAUGCGUAUUAUUGUAGGAUUUCUCAUCUCUUUUUUGGAUUUUUGAUGGCUAUACAGAGUCCAGAUGGGGAUAUAAUAG